GUCCACGCCCUAAACGAUGUCAACUGGUUGUCGGGGAAGCAAUUCCUUGGUAACGAAGCUAACGCGUGAAGUUGACCGCCUGGGGAGUACGGCCGCAAGGUUAAAACUCAAAGGAAUUGACGGGGACCCGCACAAGCGGUGGAUUAUGUGGAUCAAUUCGAUGCAACGCGAAAAAACCUUACCUACCCUUGACAUGUACGGAAGCCUUCAGAAAUGGAGGUGUGCCCGAAAGGGAGCCGUAACACAGGUGCUGCAUGGCUGUCGU
RNAcentral lists this ribosomal RNA (265 nucleotides) under uncultured bacterium. Its description in RNAcentral is "partial 16S ribosomal RNA". It matches the Rfam family "Bacterial small subunit ribosomal RNA", at positions 793 to 1055 of the family's 1533-position model. The record is from RNAcentral.